AGUGAACGCUGGCGGCAGGCCUAACACAUGCAAGUCGAACGGCAGCACAGCAGUAGCAAUACUGUGGGUGGCGAGUGGCGGACGGGUGAGGAAUACAUCGGAAUCUACCUUGUCGUGGGGGAUAACGUAGGGAAACUUACGCUAAUACCGCAUACGAACUAUGGUUGAAAGCGGCGGACCGCAAGGCGUCGCGCGAUUGGAUGAGCCGAUGUCCGAUUAGCUAGUUGGCGGGGUAAAGGCCCACCAAGGCGACGAUCGGUAGCUGGUCUGAGAGGAUGAUCAGCCACACUGGAACUGAGACACGGUCCAGACUCCUACGGGAGGCAGCAGUGGGGAAUAUUGGACAAUGGGCGCAAGCCUGAUCCAGCCAUGCCGCGUGUGUGAAGAAGGCC
RNAcentral lists this ribosomal RNA (392 nucleotides) under uncultured bacterium. RNAcentral's name for it is "bacterial SSU rRNA". It matches the Rfam family "Bacterial small subunit ribosomal RNA", at positions 29 to 416 of the family's 1533-position model. The record is from RNAcentral.